Molecule: small RNA, 479 nt
Filed under: Histoplasma capsulatum
Lineage: Eukaryota; Fungi; Ascomycota; Eurotiomycetes; Onygenales; Ajellomycetaceae
Also listed under: 1 other name
Description: hypothetical RNA
Source: RNAcentral
ACCUCAUCCGGCUCGCCUGCUGAUUGCUUCGGAUCUUCAGAGAGAGUCUGUUUGAGGGGCUUUGGGUGAUAUUGCGUGCUUUGCGCAAUUAGAUUCCGCGGUUCCUGCAAUUCCGCUGCUUGUAUGCCCGCACUUUCGAGCUUCAGUGACAAACGGUCCUGCCGUUGCCAUAGCCCAACCUGUGUUUCUUCAUUUCCAAUCGUCUCACUACUACGAUCAGAAUCAUAGCCUCCCGAACCACGAGAGUCUACCGACAUCGACCGAGCGGAUAGCGACCGCACAGAGGGUGUUCUGGCAAUGUUCGUAUUCCACAUCGAUUGUUAUGGGCGGUAUAAGCAGGAUUGAAUAAAGAGCGCAAGAAGAAGUGAAAAGAAGUCUAGUAGUAGAAGUCUCUAGAACUCAAAAUACUAUCCACAAUCAGUAAAAAGUUGGGGAGACCCGUGUAGAAGUAGCUGUUGGCUGUGUGUCCCCUGAGCUCU